This 357-nucleotide long non-coding RNA is filed under the name Elaeis guineensis (African oil palm). Its description in RNAcentral is "long non-coding RNA (EGUI_LNC047857)". The record is from RNAcentral. Lineage: Eukaryota; Viridiplantae; Streptophyta; Magnoliopsida; Arecales; Arecaceae.
ACAGACCCGCUAGCCAAGCUUCUCAGCCAGCUAAAGACUGAAGCUCACUUUGAGAAAAUGGAUCUUAGGUAUAUGACCAAUUGGCUUUAGGUCAAGUGAGAGUUUGUUAGAUUUGUGCCUUAAAAGUCAAUUGUUGGCUGACAUAUUAUAUAAUUUUAGGAUCUAAACUUGUACUUAUAAUCUUUUUUUAUUAUCAAUAAAAGAUUUUUUCUUUCCAAUCAUAUUUAUGUGUCCACGAUUUAUCCUAAAAAUUAACAAAGAUAAUUUUUGUAUAUUUUUAAAGAGUUAAAAUUUGAGACAUAUAUUAAUUAGUGGUUAAUUUCUAAAUACUCUCGAUUAAAAGAUCAUCAUCGAGGA